CAACAUGCAAUUUUUUGAACUAAAAAUUUAACAAUAAAAAUUAAAAAUAUUGUUUAAUUCCUCAUGAUAAUCAAAACCUGGUCACGAUUUUCACUAUUUUUAGGAAAAUCACGAUUUUUCAAAAAAAUUGAUCAUGAAUUAAAAAAAAAAAAAAGGCAGUUCUUCACAGACCCACCUAGCAUCAGUCAUUCCAACUAAAAAAUCCGCCUCAAAUCGAAUAAAUUACAUCAAAUUGAAUACAUGUUUUGAUAAGCAACACUAUAAAGAAUCAAUGCCCUAUAAUAUUAACACAUUAUUAUUAAAAAAUUAAAUAAAAUCGAUUGAAUUGAGGAAAAAAAAAAAAACGCAGUUCUUCACGGACAUCAGUCAUUCGAUCUCAAAAAUCAAGCUGAAAUUGAAUAAAUCGGAUCAAAUUGAAUAAAUCAGAUCAAAUUUAACACAUUCUUUGCAAAAUAUUGAGUAAAAUUGAUAGAAUGGCGGGAAAAAAAAAAAAAACAGCAGUCCAAUUUUUCUUCAUAGACAUCACUCUUUUUUUCUCAAAAAUCAAGCUCGAAUUGAAUAAAUAAAAUCAAAUUGAAUAUAUGUGAUGAUAAACAACACAAUAACGAAUCAAAACCCUAUAAAUUUAGCACAUAAUUUGCAAAAUAUUGAGUGAAUUUGAUAGAAUGGCGGAAAAAAAAAAAACACAGUUCUUAAUUGUUUUUCGUGCACCCGUGCCUUCAAAUUCAAAAUUGAUAUGUAUUCCUCCAAAAUAAUCACAAAUUAUGAGCAAAACUUCUGAACAACACUCUUACGAUCAAUCACCCUGAAAUUUUACAAAAAAUGAUGCCCUCUUUCGCUUGAAAUCAGUGAAAUGACGGAAACCUUAAAACUCACUCUUAGAUCCAAAUUUUUUUGAUAAAAAUUAGUGAUUUUUACUACCUUUUACUGACUGAAAUGACUGAAAAAUUUGAAUUAAAGCCUACAAGAUUCGAUUAUAAGGCUGAAAAAGAUGAAAAAUGAUAAGAAAAUGACAAAAAAAGAUGAAAUCCGUGAAGAACACUGUGCAGCCCGUGUUCUUGGGCGAGUCAAUGGUGUGACUCGGCGAUUCACUAUUGGGAAUCGCUCGGUUCUCUCUGGACACGGGCGAUUACCGGUUUUGUGGUGGAACUGGCACGGGUAUUGUCGAUUCCCGAGUCGAACUGGGCGAGUCCUGUUCGACUCGCUGUUUUUUCAAACCCUGGAAUAGACAUUUAUUUUAGGAUAACUAAAUUUGAGAGAGUAUGAGUACACAACAGAGAGAUGUCAACAUUAUUUUUAUAUCUCCACAUUUUGUAGAGUGUAGAGACACAAAGAUUGUUGCCAUAUCUUGAUUGAGAACGAGGGCGAGCGCACAAGAGAGAUAUGGAGAAUGGGAGAUUUUAAGAAAUAUUUGAGGAGAGAGAGAGAGUACGGACGAGAGAGGGAAUGAGAUUUCUAUGGAAACUUUUUAAGAGUAGAGAAAGAGAAUCUCCUAAUACAAGAUUUUAGGAAACUAAGAUUUUAGUAGGAUUUUAUUUUAUAGAAAUGAUAAAAGGAAAAUAGAAGAAGCAUAUAUGAAUAGAAGAAGC
Molecule: long non-coding RNA, 1589 nt
Filed under: Amborella trichopoda
Lineage: Eukaryota; Viridiplantae; Streptophyta; Magnoliopsida; Amborellales; Amborellaceae
Description: long non-coding RNA (ATRI_LNC003248)
Source: RNAcentral